GCAGAUUAGUGCAAUGAAUUUAAGAUUCAUAUAUAAAUAGAAUUAUUUUUCUAGAA
This 56-nucleotide transfer RNA is filed under the name Cuerna striata. Its description in RNAcentral is "partial tRNA-Leu". Lineage: Eukaryota; Metazoa; Arthropoda; Insecta; Hemiptera; Cicadellidae. The record is from RNAcentral. RNAcentral also lists the same sequence under 1 other name.